Molecule: ribosomal RNA, 327 nt
Filed under: uncultured eukaryote
Lineage: Eukaryota
Description: partial 18S ribosomal RNA
Rfam family: Eukaryotic small subunit ribosomal RNA
Source: RNAcentral
CCCUUAGAUGUUCUGGGCCGCACGCGCGCUACACUGACGAAUGCAACGAGCUUAUAACCUUGGCCGAAAGGUCUGGGUAAUCUCCAAAUUUCGUCGUGAUGGGGAUAGAUUAUUGCAAUUAUUAAUCUUCAACGAGGAAUGCCUAGUAAGCGCAAGUCAUCAGCUUGCGUCGAUUACGUCCCUGCCCUUUGUACACACCGCCCGUCGCUCCUACCGAUUGAAUGGUCCGGUGAAGCGUUCGGACCGUGGCCUUUGGACGGUUCGCCGUCUGUUGGCUGCGGGAAGUUCGUUAAACCUUAUCAUUUAGAGGAAGGAGAAGUCGUANCA